AGCGAACGCUGGCGGCAGGCCUAACACAUGCAAGUCGAACGAACUCUUCGGAGUUAGUGGCGGACGGGUGAGUAACACGUGGGAACGUGCCUUUUGGUUCGGAAUAACUCAGGGAAACUUGUGCUAAUACCGAAUGUGCCCUUCGGGGGUAAGAUUUAUCGCCAUUAGAUCGGCCCGCGUCUGAUUAGCUAGUUGGUGAGGUAACGGCUCACCAUGGCGACGAUCAGUAGCUGGUCUGAGAGGAUGACCAGCCACACUGGGACUGAGACACGGCCCAGACUCCUACGGGAGGCAGCAGUGGGGAAUCUUGCGCAAUGGGCGAAAGCCUGACGCAGCCAUGCCGCGUGAAUGAUGAAGGUCUUAGGAUUGUAAAAUUCUUUCACCGGGGACGAUAAUGACGGUACCCGGAGAAGAAGCCCCGGCUAACUUCGUG
This 433-nucleotide ribosomal RNA is filed under the name uncultured bacterium. RNAcentral describes it as "partial 16S ribosomal RNA". It matches the Rfam family "Bacterial small subunit ribosomal RNA", at positions 29 to 507 of the family's 1533-position model. The record is from RNAcentral.